Molecule: ribosomal RNA, 426 nt
Filed under: uncultured bacterium
Lineage: Bacteria
Description: bacterial SSU rRNA
Rfam family: Bacterial small subunit ribosomal RNA
Source: RNAcentral
UGGGGAAUUUUGGACAAUGGGCGCAAGCCUGAUCCAGCAAUGCCGCGUGCAGGAUGAAGGCCUUCGGGUUGUAAACUGCUUUUGUACGGAACGAAAAAGCUCUCUCUAAUACAGGGGGUGAAUGACGGUACCGUAGGAAUAAGCACCGGCUAACUACGUGCCAGCAGCCGCGGUAAUACGUAGGGGGCAAGCGUUGUCCGGAUUUACUGGGUGUAAAGGGCGCGCAGGCGGGAUAAAAAGUCAGUGGUGAAAUCCUACAGCUUAACUGUAGAACUGCCUUUGAUACUUUUAUUCUUGAGUUCGGGAGAGAGAGACGGAAUUCCAGGUGUAGUGGUGAAAUACGUAGAUAUCUGGAAGAACACCAGUUGCGAAGGCGGUCUCUUGGUCCGACACUGACGCUGAGGCGCGAAAGCGUGGGGAGCAAAC